AUACUUACCUGGACGGGGUUAAUGGGCGAUCAAGAAGGCUCAUGGCCUAGAUUAGUGGCCUCCAUUGCACUUAGGAGGAACGCUCGUCUACCAUCUCCCCAAGUGGGAGUGGACGUCAUAAUUUGUGGCAGAGGGGGUACGCGUUCGCGCGGCCCCUAC
Oryza sativa Japonica Group (Japanese rice) is the source of this 159-nucleotide small nuclear RNA. RefSeq annotates it as U1 spliceosomal RNA. Lineage: Eukaryota; Viridiplantae; Streptophyta; Magnoliopsida; Poales; Poaceae. The record is from RefSeq and is a predicted model, not a curated record.